CCUACGGGUGGCAGCAGUGGGGAAUAUUGCACAAUGGGGGAAACCCUGAUGCAGCGACGCCGCGUGAGUGAAGAAGUAUUUCGGUAUGUAAAGCUCUAUCAGCAGGGAAGAAAUAGCGACCUUUGGGUCGCCAGACGGUACCUGACUAAGAAGCCCCGGCUAACUACGUGCCAGCAGCCGCGGUAAUACGUAGGGGGCAAGCGUUAUCCGGAUUUACUGGGUGUAAAGGGAGCGUAGACGGCAGCACAAGUCUGAAGUGAAAUGCCGGGGCGUAACCCCGGAACUGGUUUGGUAACUGUGCAGGUAGAGUGCAGGAGAGGUAAGUGGAAUUCCUAGUGUAGCGGUGAAAUGCGUAGAUAUUAGGAGGAACACCAGUGGCGAAGGCGGCUUACUGGACUGUAACUGACGUUGAGGCUCGAAAGCGUGGGGAGCAAACAGGAUUAGAUACCCGGGUAGUC
RNAcentral lists this ribosomal RNA (458 nucleotides) under uncultured bacterium. Its description in RNAcentral is "partial 16S ribosomal RNA". It matches the Rfam family "Bacterial small subunit ribosomal RNA", at positions 338 to 795 of the family's 1533-position model. The record is from RNAcentral.